This 505-nucleotide ribosomal RNA is filed under the name uncultured bacterium. Its description in RNAcentral is "partial 16S ribosomal RNA". It matches the Rfam family "Bacterial small subunit ribosomal RNA", at positions 355 to 876 of the family's 1533-position model. The record is from RNAcentral.
UGGGGAAUAUUGCACAAUGGGCGAAAGCCUGAUGCAGCAACGCCGCGUGAGUGAUGAAGGUCUUCGGAUUGUAAAGCUCUGUCUUUUGGGACGAUAAUGACGGUACCAAAGGAGGAAGCCACGGCUAACUACGUGCCAGCAGCCGCGGUAAUACGUAGGUGGCGAGCGUUGUCCGGAUUUACUGGGCGUAAAGGGUGCGUAGGCGGAUGUUUAAGUGAGAUGUGAAAUACCCGGGCUUAACUUGGGUGCUGCAUUUCAAACUGGAUAUCUAGAGUGCAGGAGAGGAGAAUGGAAUUCCUAGUGUAGCGGUGAAAUGCGUAGAGAUUAGGAAGAACACCAGUGGCGAAGGCGAUUCUCUGGACUGUAACUGACGCUGAGGCACGAAAGCGUGGGUAGCAAACAGGAUUAGAUACCCUGGUAGUCCACGCCGUAAACGAUGAGUACUAGGUGUAGGAGGUAUCGACCCCUUCUGUGCCGCAGUAAACACAUUAAGUACUCCGCCUGG